AGGGUUUGAUCAUGGCUCAGGACGAACGCUGGCGGCGUGCUUAACACAUGCAAGUCGAACGGGGCACCUUUGAAAGAGACUUCGGUCAAUGGAUGAGACUGCUUAGUGGCGGACGGGUGAGUAACGCGUGAGGAACCUGCCUUUCAGAGGGGGACAACAGUUGGAAACGACUGCUAAUACCGCAUAACGCAUGACUAGGGCAUCCUGGACAUGCCAAAGAUUUAUCGCUGAAAGAUGGCCUCGCGUCUGAUUAGCUAGUUGGUGAGGUAACGGCCCACCAAGGCGACGAUCAGUAGCCGGACUGAGAGGUUGGCCGGCCACAUUGGGACUGAGAUACGGCCCAG
RNAcentral lists this ribosomal RNA (344 nucleotides) under uncultured bacterium. Its description in RNAcentral is "bacterial SSU rRNA". It matches the Rfam family "Bacterial small subunit ribosomal RNA", at positions 8 to 334 of the family's 1533-position model. The record is from RNAcentral.